Anolis carolinensis (green anole) is the source of this 1089-nucleotide long non-coding RNA. RefSeq lists it as uncharacterized. NCBI's taxonomy places the organism in Eukaryota, Metazoa, Chordata, Lepidosauria, Squamata, Anolidae. The transcript has 2 exons. The record is from RefSeq and is a predicted model, not a curated record.
GUCGCUUGAAGAAAGAGUUUAUUCUUUCCUAAAAAGUAUUUCCCCUAGGGAGAGUAUGGCUCCUCCCCCUGCCCUUCCUUGAGUUGGUACAGCCCGCAUUCCAGGGGAUUGGGCGGGGCUAAAAGGGCGGGGAAGAAGUCGGGCCAGGGCCUGGUACGCAUGCGCGCGGGGAACUGGGCCUGAUGACCUUGUAAGGAAAUCGAGGCGCCUUUCCUGUUUGGCGGGUGGGAGCGGCCCUUGAUGACGUCUCGGUUCUCGGUGACGUCGUGCAUUCGAACGCUUCUUUCUGUCAUUUGCAGAUUAAGCGCCUGGGAUCAUCUGAUGAUUAGUACAGGGCUGAUGUCUCGCCAACCUACAACUCUCUAGAUUCAAUAACAUUGGGCCAUGGCAGCUGAAGUGGUGUCAAACUGCAUUAAAUCUACAGUGUAGAUGCACCCCGGGACCAGAAGAGUUUUGGAUUUUGGAAAAGAAGGCGUGAAUGGGAAUGGAUCUGGGCAUUGUGAAGUAACAGUCUGGAAAAGAGAAAUGGUUAUUCUCUGAUACAUCGAUUGAUGACCACUUGAAGUAACUGGAAAAUAAGUGUGCUUAUCCCCAAUCAGACAAUAAACAAUUUUUCUCUAUUUCUUCCCCAGCCCCUUUUGUUUGUUGGAGAUAGCAACCUUCUCUAACCUUCUCUAUCUAAUGUUUUGUCUGUUUAUAAUGUGCUGUUUAUUUCCUGAAGUGUAUGGUUAGCAGUUUUCCUAGCUCUGUGUACUUAAGACAGUGGGAAAGGCUGCAGACUAUGUGACUGGUUCAGUGACUGUUUAGAAUGCAGUUAACAAAGGAUGACAGUUUGAAAUAUGAUAGUUGAGGCUUAUGUCUGAGUACAGAAGCCAGUAUUAAAAGGUAGAAGUCAGUUGAGGCUUGAGUUUCUUUGGAACUAGAACGUUAUAAAAAAGAGCUAUACAGAGCAAUAUAGUUUUAAAGAGACUGUUAAAGGCUAUAAGUUAAAGAUACAAACUGAAACUUUUUAAAAGCUUAACCUGACAAGAAAUGUACUUGUAUAUGUAAAUACAUGAAGUUGUGAGUAAAACAAACUUGUUAUGUAAA